RNAcentral lists this ribosomal RNA (173 nucleotides) under uncultured bacterium. RNAcentral describes it as "partial 16S ribosomal RNA". It matches the Rfam family "Bacterial small subunit ribosomal RNA", at positions 1320 to 1500 of the family's 1533-position model. The record is from RNAcentral.
AUGAAGCUGGAUUCGCUAGUAAUCGCGCAUCAGCCACGGCGCGGUGAAUACGUUCCCGGGCCUUGUACACACCGCCCGUCAAGCCAUGGAAGCCGGGAGUGCCUGAAGUGCGUGAGCGCAAGCAGCGCCCUAAGGUAAAACCGGUGACUGGGGCUAAGUCGUAACAAGGUACC